RNAcentral lists this ribosomal RNA (400 nucleotides) under uncultured bacterium. Its description in RNAcentral is "bacterial SSU rRNA". It matches the Rfam family "Bacterial small subunit ribosomal RNA", at positions 355 to 747 of the family's 1533-position model. The record is from RNAcentral.
UGGGGAAUUUUGCGCAAUGGGGGAAACCCUGACGCAGCAACGCCGCGUGAGUGAUGAAGGCUUUCGGGUCGUAAAGCUCUGUCAGAAGGGAAGAAAUGUAGGUGGCUAAUAUCCAUUCUACUUGACGGUACCUUCAAAGGAAGCACCGGCUAACUCCGUGCCAGCAGCCGCGGUAAUACGGAGGGUGCGAGCGUUGUUCGGAAUUAUUGGGCGUAAAGCGCGUGUAGGCGGUUUAUUAAGUCUGAUGUGAAAGCCCCGGGCUCAACCUGGGAAGUGCAUUGGAUACUGGUAGACUUGAGUACGGGAGAGGGUAGUGGAAUUCCUAGUGUAGGAGUGAAAUCCGUAGAUAUUAGGAGGAACACCGGUGGCGAAGGCGGCUGCCUGGACCGAUACUGACGCU